UACGUAGGGGGCUAGCGUUGUCCGGAAUCAUUGGGCGUAAAGCGCGUGUAGGCGGUCCGGUAAGUCCGCUGUGAAAGUCGGGGGCUCAACCCUCGGAUGCCGGUGGAUACUGUCAGACUAGAGUGCGGAAGAGGCGAGUGGAAUUCCCGGUGUAGCGGUGAAAUGCGCAGAUAUCGGGAGGAACACCAAUGGCGAAGGCAGCUCGCUGGGACGUUACUGACGCUGAGACGCGAAAGCGUGGGGAGCAAACAGG
Molecule: ribosomal RNA, 253 nt
Filed under: uncultured bacterium
Lineage: Bacteria
Description: partial 16S ribosomal RNA
Rfam family: Bacterial small subunit ribosomal RNA
Source: RNAcentral